This is a long non-coding RNA of Temnothorax curvispinosus, 2415 nucleotides long. RefSeq lists it as uncharacterized. Lineage: Eukaryota; Metazoa; Arthropoda; Insecta; Hymenoptera; Formicidae. The transcript is spliced from 4 exons. The record is from RefSeq and is a predicted model, not a curated record.
ACACGUAAAUUUAGUAAAAAUUUAUUUAAUUUUGAAAUAUUUUAGAGAUAUUACAUUAUCACAAUUGUUUUUGUUACUAUAAAAUGUGUCACGAUAAACCGAAGUUCUUAUAUUAAACGCUUGCGAGUGACUGGUCAGUUCUAUCUGGUACUGCACAGAAAAAUAAGAAGUGUUCAAUUAACACUGAUAUACUUGUAUAUACGCAAGAAUAUAUAAUCUUGAAAUGAGAUUAGGAUAUAGUUCCGAAUGACCCCUGCUCCCGAUUGUCCUAAAACUUUACACAUAAGUUGUUUUCAAUGUGAGAAAUAAAGUACGCGUGGUCCCAACUUCGGAAAAUUGAAAAAUAGUUAUUUGUGUAACAAGUGCGGGAAGUAUAAUUUGCUAAACAUGACAUGAUAGUUCUCAAAUACUUUGGAAAUUUGUAUUCAACAUAUUAUUAAAAGAAAUAAACAAAUAUUUACUUUUUAAAAAUUUUAAACAAAUAAAUUAAAAUAAAAAAUAUUAAUUUUUUCCUUCAAUUUUCUCAAACAAUCCGUUUUGCUCCUUAUUUUCGAAUAUAUUUUCCGAAAAAUAUCAAUUUUAUUUACAUUAAAUUUACAAAAUUGAUAAUAAAACCACAAAAAAUGUCAUAUUAAAUCGAAAAAUUGACAUUUUAAAAAUUUCAUAACUCGGAAACUACUUCUAUUCCAAAAAUGAAAUUUUCAGGGUUGUUUAAGGAUAUAAUGAAGUAUAUUCCCUGAAAAUUUCAAAGGAUUUCGAGUUGAAAGAAAAAAGUUUUGGCUAUCUGAAAAUGGCGAUUUUUCGAAAAUCGAUCGGCUUUAGAUAACCAUAACUUAACGAAAUAGAAGCAAUCAAGUAAAAAAUGGGUAGAUUUCUUCAGAGUAUACCUGAACAAAAAAUAUCAGCUGCUGAUCAACCCUCUACUUCGAAAACUGUAGAUAUGACAGCAUUUCAAAAAUAGGUAAAAUUUCUCUAAAACAGUGGUUUAGUUAGCAGCUCGCCGUGAAGCCGGACUUGAGUGUAAACCAAUGACCAAUUUUUUCCUUAAAAGUAGAGGGUUUACAGAAAAGAAUGCGGCCUCAAACGAGUCUCUAAGUUAUAUAGAAGCUGAGAUAUAAAUUUUUGAAAAUGACUGAAAAAUCGACUUUUUUCAAAAUUAAUAAAAUUCUUCAGCGGCCGGAUUUGAUCGAAUCUGGCUCAAAUUUUCAGAAUCAUCUCCUUUUCUAGUGUACUUUCGAGGAAAAAAUCGGCAUCAAAAUCGGUGACCCACCCCCGCAACUUUUGGUCGAAAAGUAAUGGAUCUGCCCAUAUAUAUAUAUAUAUGUCUAUACACUAUAACUUCUUAUAUGUAAAUAUCAUAAUAUGUAUCUCUGCUCAUGUACGGUAAAAAUGAAUAAAAUUUUUAUGGUAUGUACAUUUCUAUGACAUCGAGAAUUGCAAUUACGGUUUUUUAAGAUUUUCUAGUUAUAUAUUUUUUUCAAUUUUUUAAUGAUUUAUUUAAACAAUAUGAAGUACAAAAAUGGGACAAAAUUCGGAGGCGAUUUUCACGCUUUUUCUGUCCCCAAAUAAUACCUGUUGUUUAUAAAUAAUUUCUGAGAUUAGCUCUACACUGUUUAAAUCAAGAAAACAAAGUUAUACAUAUAAUAGCUAUCUAUCAUACAUCUUUAACCGCGCGCUGGAGACAAAGCGCCUUUGCCAUAUGUUGAUUACAUUUCCCUUUUAUUUUCAGAACGCGGCGGACAGACACGAGGCGGAUCGGCUCCGGAACGAGUGGCCGUCGCGACUUAUUUAAUUGAAAAUAGAUCAGAUAUAAGUGCCACAAAGAAAUAGCAACGGAAAAAGAAGAAAAGAGGACAAGCCGAGAAGACGGCCAGGUGUAACAGAUAAGAUAAAAUAGAGGAGACCGGGGCUCGUCGGCACUGUUUUUACAAUUUCGGCAUUUGAGUUUUUAAACAACUAAUUAUCAUGAUUAAACAGUACUAAUAUGUUAGAGAGAACCUUUUUCUACAUUUUCAUGCCAGAAACGCUCCUGUAUAACUUCUUUGUAAUAAUUAAGUGAAAUACGAACAUGCUGCAUUGUAGUCAACUUGCCCCGAUAGUAGGUUAUUUUGUAUAACUUUGCAUCGUGAUGUGAAUGAGAAGAAAUUCUGUUAAGAGAUGGAGGAAGAAGCCUGGAAGUACUACACCUGACGCCAGUUGAACAACUUUGCAGUAAGCAUUACUAUUUGUGUAAAUCAAUCAUUUCUUCCCGUUUAUUUGGAUCGCUUUAUUUCAACAAUUUAAAAAUAAUUAUUAGAGAAAACGAAUUAAUCUGAUACUGUAAAAGUUUAGUCUUAUGAAGAUCUUUUUUAAAAAAAUUACAAAUAUUUUAAUAGAUAUUAAAUCAAAAUGUGAUAAAAAGUUCUAUUCACGUUA